AGCGUUGAAAAGCUCGGGGAUGACUUGUGGGUAGCGGUGAAAUUCCAAUCGAGCCCGGAGAUAGCUGGUUCUCCCCGAAAUAGCUUUAGGGCUAGCCUCAAGGGGAGAGAUACGGAGGUAGAGCACUGAAUGUCCUAGGGGGUAUUGCACCUACCGAAGACUAUCAAACUCCGAAUGCCGUCAUCUUAUACUUGGGAGUCAGACUG
RNAcentral lists this ribosomal RNA (206 nucleotides) under Clostridioides difficile. Its description in RNAcentral is "partial 23S ribosomal RNA". It matches the Rfam family "Bacterial large subunit ribosomal RNA", at positions 785 to 991 of the family's 2925-position model. Lineage: Bacteria; Bacillati; Bacillota; Clostridia; Peptostreptococcales; Peptostreptococcaceae. The record is from RNAcentral.